AUUGUUUCGAACGGCAGCUUUUUUCACAAAGAGCUGACGGAUCGGUUUUGAGGGUCUUUGCCAUUUACCGUGGCUCCCUCUAAAUGCAUUAGCGCAUCCAUUUGAUAGGCAAGACGGACGAAAGCUCAAUCUUUCGCUCUUUUUCUUUCCUGCCGGGUUUUGAUAAUAUCGAAGCUUCGGAGAGAUUGGAGAAAGUAGGCGACGAGCUGGACGCAACGACUUGCUGGUUGGAGUGCUUCUGAACCCCGCCUUCUCUUUUAGAGAGGAGGAAUCAUAAUUCA
RNAcentral lists this unclassified non-coding RNA (281 nucleotides) under uncultured Ustilaginaceae. Its description in RNAcentral is "sequence contains ITS2". The record is from RNAcentral. Lineage: Eukaryota; Fungi; Basidiomycota; Ustilaginomycetes; Ustilaginales; Ustilaginaceae.